Molecule: long non-coding RNA, 653 nt
Filed under: Monodelphis domestica (gray short-tailed opossum)
Lineage: Eukaryota; Metazoa; Chordata; Mammalia; Didelphimorphia; Didelphidae
Description: lncRNA (ENSMODG00000042557.1)
Source: RNAcentral
CAAGCAGCCACUUUAGAAUUUUGUGCUUUGGGGUUUUUUUAGUUAGUUAGUCUCUUUGCUGAGAAGUAUGCAAUCUUGGGACAUGAAAUACAGUAUCAGAGGGUGAACAAGCUUUGGAGGCCAUUUCUAGCAUCCCACUUCCUUUGGAACAAAAUCUCCUUUCCACACUGUUAUUGGCUCCAACCACAGACAAUUCAUACCUGAAUCCCUACAUUUUUUUCCACAUCUGAAGUCUUGGGUUUAAUUCUGGGAGACACAUUUCAUUUGCAAACCAAUAACCUGGAGGAUUAAGUGAACCAAAUGUCUGGAGAAGGAUAACCAGAACAGCAAGGGAAUGGGCAAAUAUUCCAUAUGAAGAGCAAUUGGAGGAACUAGAUAUGUUUAUUUUGGUGAGAGACCUUCAAAAUUCCCCAUUACAUAAGAGAUCAAGUAUGUUCAUCAGCCUGAUAUUUAAAGUUUCCUACAGAUAUAGCCACAGCAUCAGAGACACAGAAAUAAAAGGAAUCUCAGAAGGAAGCCAGAAAGGCAUCCCAAGGAAGAGAGACAACCUGUACAAAAACACAGAGAUAUAAAAUGGAAUAUUUUUUGCGAGAAGGAGCAAGGAGGUCAACAUUUGGCCAUACCUUAGAGUGUGUGAACAGGAGCAAUGUGUA